Molecule: non-coding RNA, 907 nt
Organism: Cinara cedri
Lineage: Eukaryota; Metazoa; Arthropoda; Insecta; Hemiptera; Aphididae
Source: the annotation of a GenBank genome assembly
AAAGCACAUCCGUCAAGUCUACAUAUUUCUUUGGUCUGUUUGUUGGUAGGCAGCAUAGUAGUUUGACAUGAAAUAGGUAUACCUACUUAGUUCAUCUCGUGUAUAUUAUGAAUAGGUAUAGUUUACGAUUUUAGUAAUUACUAAAUCUUUACAUUUAUUUUUUAUUUGUAUGGUGCCCAACAUUUAGAAGAAAGAAACGAAUAAUGGACUAAUUUUGUGGAGACUGUCACUGUUAUAAUCAAAUUAAACAAACAAAUUCUUGUAUUUCUAUAUUUUUAUAAAACGACCACCGUUCGAAUCAUUUCGUUCGCUAUAGUUUUAUUUGUUCGUGUAUAUUUCUGUGAGUAAUUCAAUUUUACCUUACGAUUUGUCUUGUUAAUAUAAUGUUGUCUAAAAAUACAUACUCAGUUAGGUUUAUUGUUAUGAAUAGAGCAGAUGUUUAUAUUACAAUGUAGUCUAUCCUAAACACGUUUUUUGAUCUUGCAGACGGAUCGCAACAGAAACUCUUAUGCAAUUUGUUUUAAUUUAAGUCGUGUAAAUAUUAUAAUUUUACAAGAAACUAACAUUCUAUACAGUCUUGUAGGUGAAUAUUAUCCGUUCCUUAGGAGUCUGGGUAAUAAUGGCCAUGUUAGAAAUGUCCAUAAACUAAAAAUGUAACCAUAAAUAGAUUGAUUCUUCGAAGAAUGUUUCAAAUAACAUACCAUUGAAUGAAAAAUCCGCGUCAUAAAUGUAUGAUAUGAAAAAACACUAAAAUUUUAAUUUUGGAAAUUAUCGGCUAUUUAAUUAGGUUUAAAAAAAUAGCUAAAGUAGGGUGUUGAGAAUGGAAUCCUCACGAGUAAGGUGAGUUUAGUUUCAAUCACAAGGGACGCUAUAUAUUUAUAUUAGUCUGUUAUUAUCCUUUUUUUUU